GUGUAUAGUUCGUAGGCAAAGCCUACAGUUUCACGUACAUACAACCAUACGAGUUUUUUUGGUUCGAUGACUUUCGCCAUCACAGUGCACAGGGGUUGGUGUGGAUAUAGUGGUGGGCGCCAGAGACGCGGUAGCGUCCGUAUGGCUGGCCCAAAUCUUCACUAAUGAUCCUUCUGCAGGUUCACCUACAGAAA
This 194-nucleotide unclassified non-coding RNA is filed under the name uncultured fungus. Its description in RNAcentral is "sequence contains ITS1". Lineage: Eukaryota; Fungi. The record is from RNAcentral.